GAUGAACGCUGGCGGCGUGCCUAAUACAUGCAAGUCGAGCGAACGGACGAGAAGCUUGCUUCUCUGAUGUUAGCGGCGGACGGGUGAGUAACACGUGGAUAACCUACCUAUAAUACUGGGAUAACUUCGGGAAACCGGAGCUAAUACCGGAUAAUAUUUUGAACCGCAUGGUUCAAAAGUGAAAGAUGGUCUUGCUGUCACUUAUAGAUGGAUCCGCGCUGCAUUAGCUAGUUGGUAAGGUAACGGCUUACCAAGGCAACGAUGCAUAGCCGACCUGAGAGGGUGAUCGGCCACACUGGAACUGAGACACGGUCCAGACUCCUACGGGAGGCAGCAGUAGGGAAUCUUCCGCAAUGGGCGAAAGCCUGACGGAGCAACGCCGCGUGAGUGAUGAAGGUCUUCGGAUCGUAAAACUCUGUUAUUAGGGAAGAACAUAUGUGUAAGUAACUGUGCACAUCUUGACGGUACCUAAUCAGAAAGCCACGGCUAACUACGUG
RNAcentral lists this ribosomal RNA (497 nucleotides) under uncultured bacterium. RNAcentral's name for it is "partial 16S ribosomal RNA". It matches the Rfam family "Bacterial small subunit ribosomal RNA", at positions 28 to 507 of the family's 1533-position model. The record is from RNAcentral.